RNAcentral lists this transfer RNA (64 nucleotides) under Euparatettix variabilis. RNAcentral's name for it is "tRNA-Phe". Lineage: Eukaryota; Metazoa; Arthropoda; Insecta; Orthoptera; Tetrigidae. The record is from RNAcentral.
AUUUAGGUAGUUUAUUAGAACUUUGUAUUGAAGAUACAAAAGAGGAUUUUAUAUCCCUUAAAUA